Molecule: ribosomal RNA, 468 nt
Filed under: uncultured bacterium
Lineage: Bacteria
Description: partial 16S ribosomal RNA
Rfam family: Bacterial small subunit ribosomal RNA
Source: RNAcentral
GACGAACGCUGGCGGCGUGCUUAACACAUGCAAGUCGAACGGAAAGGCCCUGCUUUUGUGGGGUGCUCGAGUGGCGAACGGGUGAGUAACACGUGAGUAACCUGCCCUUGACUUUGGGAUAACUUCAGGAAACUGGGGCUAAUACCGGAUAGGAGCUCCUGCUGCAUGGUGGGGGUUGGAAAGUUUCGGCGGUUGGGGAUGGACUCGCGGCUUAUCAGCUUGUUGGUGGGGUAGUGGCUUACCAAGGCUUUGACGGGUAGCCGGCCUGAGAGGGUGACCGGCCACAUUGGGACUGAGAUACGGCACAGACUCCUACGGGCGGCAGCAGUGGGGAGUAUUGAACAAUGGGAGGAAGCCUGAUGCCGCGCCGCCGCGUGCGGGAUGACGGCCUUCGGGUUGUAAACCGCUUUCGCCUGUGCCGAAGCGUGAGUGACGGUACUGGGUAAAGAAGCACCGGCUAACUACGUG